RNAcentral lists this small nucleolar RNA (136 nucleotides) under Propithecus coquereli (Coquerel's sifaka). RNAcentral describes it as "Small nucleolar RNA SNORA49 (ENSPCOG00000004873.1)". It matches the Rfam family "Small nucleolar RNA SNORA49". Rfam says of the family: The snoRNA ACA49 has no identified RNA target. NB genomic sequence 1-nt different from published. The record is from Rfam by way of RNAcentral. Lineage: Eukaryota; Metazoa; Chordata; Mammalia; Primates; Indriidae.
CUGCCUCACCCGUACUCCAGGGGCUUUAUUUUGUCUGUGAAGUGCCCUGGUGUUGCCUGAGGACAGACGAGAAAGCAGGUGUCCUUCCCCAGUCACACUCUGUCUUCUUCUGGGGCCCACACGUGGAGGUGACAGU